RNA transcript from Rosa chinensis, 2050 nucleotides. RefSeq lists it as uncharacterized. The record is from RefSeq and is a predicted model, not a curated record. Lineage: Eukaryota; Viridiplantae; Streptophyta; Magnoliopsida; Rosales; Rosaceae. The transcript has 3 exons.
UGUUCAUGUUACAUAUGUCUACAAAAGAUUUCUUUGAAGAUGCUCACAGUGGAGACUAAGGAACUUGCAGAAAAACCCCCCUCAAACCUGAAACAGCAUCGUGUCCUUUCUUUUGAAACAAAGUAGUACAAGUUUUGCAACUUAUUCUAUUUGAAGUAGAAAAUAUGAUUGUAUUUGUGAGAUAAGAAAACUCUGAAUUUCUGAAAGGAGUGGUUACUGAACAAUAGCAAGAAACAAUUCCUUAGCUGUCUGUGCUAUUCCUUAAUAAUUAACCACUCUAAAACCAUUCACAAACACAAUAUUUGCAUCCUUGAUCAGGUAUUUAGAUACAUACUAUGACUGUUCAUAUCGUGUCACAGCUGUCACUGUAUUCCCCUGGUUUAAGCAGACGGAUAUUAUUUCUAGCUAGAAGAUAAUAUCUUCUGGUUCAUCUGUAUCAAAAAAAUUAUUUUCUUGAUCUAAACUUGGUUAUAUAACUGCAAGGAUUAAUCAAAUACACAGAAGCAAUUAGUAAAUAUGUGAAGCUUAUCAGAUUCAAUCAGUCACAUGUUAUAGGAAAAUGGAGAAAGCAAAAGUGUUUCAUACAAAACCAAGAAAUAUAUUAUUUGUACAAAAAGUAUCAACGGCAUAGUGUACAAAUGGUUUGCAGUAUGGUACGUUCACUUUGUGUUAUUAAAUGCAGGAGAAGUCAUGUAUUGAAAUCAUUUCUGUUAUUUCCAUACCAACUGUAGGUCAGUAAACGUGCUAUAAUAAUGACCAUUGGACUAAAAGUACCAAUACUAAAGAAAAAUUGGCAUCAGAUGUAUUGAAACAGCACUGCAGCAUCAAUCAAUAGCAAUGGAUCUAAACACUAGAUUAUUUCCGCCUAUAUAUGUGUGUGUGUGUGUGUGUGUGUUCUGAGUGUAGGUUGUUACAAGUCUACUUUUACUGCUAUUUUACACUCUUACUCCUGUGCAACUGUAGUUACUCUAGUGCAGCUAAUGGCAUGGACAAAAGCAAAAAUCCAAAAAUCAGAGAACUACCAGGUGAGGUCUGACUAUCCAAGUAAGUUAUGGAUAAAACAAAAGGUACCUAUCUUAUUUUCGGAGUUUACAAUAGAAAUUGGUUGUUCUUGAUUGCUCUACAUCCUAAUCUUCUUUUUAAUCUCCAAGUUAUCAAGUCCCCUCAAAGAAAUCGGUAAUAUUUUCUUAUAUACUUCAUUUUACUUCAUCUGCCUUUUUUUUCCUUCAAAGUAGACCGACUUUGUUAGGGCUUUUUUUUUUUUUUUUGGUAUGUGAAUUGCAGGCUUUGUUUUUGCCUAUGAGAGCUGAGGCUGAAUAAAAUCCUGCUUAAGAUUAGCUUAAUGGAUAUAUUGUCUGGUUAGCCUUUAUAUCAUUCUUCAAAGUUAGCAACUUUUGUAUGACAUUUUUGGUAGGUUUUCAUUUUUCAUUGAAACUGCUAACUGCUAAGCAAACUUUGUUUUAUUUUGUUACACAGAUUUUCAGGUUUGUUUGAUUUAAUGGAUACCAAUAGUAGGAGGCCUCCUCAAGUCCAAGUACCCUCAUCGGACACACUGGAUUGUAGGAGUUGUUUUCAGCCAGAUUCAUGACGUAGAAUUGUCAACAAGAUGCAAGUAUAUACGCAUGGGAAGAAUCAAAGCUAUAAACCAUGCCCUCAUACCAUGAGGACAAUACAUAUAAUACACAAAGAAUUGAUGUGCUAAAGAGAAGCCCCUCCCAUAGUCAAAUGGGAUCACCAGAACUCAAGAGGAUCACUGUAACAUUUGAGGAGAAGUUAUAACUGUUGCCUCAGCCCUCAAGCCAGUCAGAGUAUCUACGAAAACUUUCUCUGAAGAUGCUCGUCUGGGACACCAAGCUUUGUGGCCCCUCCAACCUGAAACGGCAUCGUGUCGUUGCUUUUGGCCCAGAUGAAUAGAAUUUCUGUAAGUUGUAUAUGAUUGUACUUUUGAGGGAUUACUGAACAAUAGUAAGAAACAAUUCCUGAGCUGCCUGCUGUAAUAUUCUUCAACAAUUAAGUCAAUAUAGUUAUACAGAGACACGAUAUUCAUGUC